AACGAACGCUGGCGGCAUGCCUAACACAUGCAAGUCGAACGAAGGCUUCGGCCUUAGUGGCGCACGGGUGCGUAACGCGUGGGAAUCUGCCCUUAGGUUCGGAAUAACAGUUAGAAAUGACUGCUAAUACCGGAUGAUGACGUAAGUCCAAAGAUUUAUCGCCUGAGGAUGAGCCCGCGUAGGAUUAGCUAGUUGGUGUGGUAAAGGCGCACCAAGGCGACGAUCCUUAGCUGGUCUGAGAGGAUGAUCAGCCACACUGGGACUGAGACACGGCCCAGACUCCUACGGGAGGCAGCAGUGGGGAAUAUUGGACAAGGGGCGCAAGCCUGAUCCAGCAAUGCCGCGUGAGUGAUGAAGGCCUUAGGGUUGUAAAGCUCUUUUACCCGUGAUGAUAAUGACAGUAGCGGGAGAAUAAGCCCCGGCUAACUCCGUG
RNAcentral lists this ribosomal RNA (433 nucleotides) under uncultured bacterium. Its description in RNAcentral is "partial 16S ribosomal RNA". It matches the Rfam family "Bacterial small subunit ribosomal RNA", at positions 29 to 507 of the family's 1533-position model. The record is from RNAcentral.